RNAcentral lists this ribosomal RNA (902 nucleotides) under Curvularia oryzae. RNAcentral's name for it is "LSU rRNA". It matches the Rfam family "Eukaryotic large subunit ribosomal RNA", at positions 37 to 964 of the family's 3401-position model. The record is from RNAcentral. Lineage: Eukaryota; Fungi; Ascomycota; Dothideomycetes; Pleosporales; Pleosporaceae.
AGCAUAUCAAUAGCGAGAAAAGAACCAACAGGGAUUGCCUAGUAACGGCGAGUGAAGCGGCAACAGCUCAAAUUUGAAAUCUGGCUCUUUCAGAGUCCGAGUUGUAAUUUGCAGAGGGCGCUUUGGCUUUGGCAGCGGUCCAAGUUCCUUGGAACAGGACGUCACAGAGGGUGAGAAUCCCGUACGUGGUCGCUAGCUAUUGCCGUGUAAAGCCCCUUCGACGAGUCGAGUUGUUUGGGAAUGCAGCUCUAAAUGGGAGGUAAAUUUCUUCUAAAGCUAAAUAUUGGCCAGAGACCGAUAGCGCACAAGUAGAGUGAUCGAAAGAUGAAAAGCACUUUGGAAAGAGAGUCAAACAGCACGUGAAAUUGUUGAAAGGGAAGCGCUUGCAGCCAGACUUGCUUGCAGUUGCUCAUCCGGGCUUUUGCCCGGUGCACUCUUCUGCAGGCAGGCCAGCAUCAGUUUGGGCGGUGGGAUAAAGGUCUCUGUCACGUACCUCUCUUCGGGGAGGCCUUAUAGGGGAGGCGACAUACCACCAGCCUGGACUGAGGUCCGCGCAUCUGCUAGGAUGCUGGCGUAAUGGCUGUAAGCGGCCCGUCUUGAAACACGGACCAAGGAGUCUAACAUCUAUGCGAGUGUUUGGGUGUCAAGCCCGAGCGCGUAAUGAAAGUGAACGGAGGUGGGAACCCGCAAGGGCGCACCAUCGACCGAUCCUGAAGUUUACGGAAGGAUUUGAGUAAGAGCAUGGCUGUUGGGACCCGAAAGAUGGUGAACUAUGCUUGAAUAGGGUGAAGCCAGAGGAAACUCUGGUGGAGGCUCGCAGCGGUUCUGACGUGCAAAUCGAUCGUCAAAUUUGGGCAUAGGGGCGAAAGACUAAUCGAACUAUCUAGUAGCUGGCUCUGCGA